GGGGUCAUAGCUCAGCUGGGAGAGCGCGUCGCUGGCAGCGACGAGGUCAGGGGUUCGAUCCCCCUUGACUCCACCA
Molecule: transfer RNA, 76 nt
Filed under: Sulfurimonas sp. GWF2_37_8
Lineage: Bacteria; Pseudomonadati; Campylobacterota; Epsilonproteobacteria; Campylobacterales; Sulfurimonadaceae
Also listed under: 2 other names
Description: tRNA-Ala
Rfam family: tRNA
About the family: Transfer RNA (tRNA) molecules are approximately 80 nucleotides in length. Their secondary structure includes four short double-helical elements and three loops (D, anti-codon, and T loops). Further hydrogen bonds mediate the characteristic L-shaped molecular structure. tRNAs have two regions of fundamental functional importance: the anti-codon, which is responsible for specific mRNA codon recognition, and the 3' end, to which the tRNAs corresponding amino acid is attached (by aminoacyl-tRNA synthetases). tRNAs cope with the degeneracy of the genetic code in two manners: having more than one tRNA (with a specific anti-codon) for a particular amino acid; and 'wobble' base-pairing, i.e. permitting non-standard base-pairing at the 3rd anti-codon position.
Source: RNAcentral